GAUGAACGCUGGCGGCGUGCCUAACACAUGCAAGUCGAACGAGGCAAAUAAGUUGAAGUUUUCGGAUGGAUUCUUAUUUACCGAGUGGCGGACGGGUGAGUAACGCGUGGGUAACCUGCCUCAUACAGGGGGAUAACGGUUAGAAAUGACUGCUAAUACCGCAUAAGCGCACAGUACCGCAUGGUACGGUGUGAAAAACUACCGGUGGUAUGAGAUGGAUCCGCGUCUGAUUAGCUAGUUGGUAAGGUAACGGCUUACCAAGGCAACGAUCAAUAGCCGACCUGGGAGGGUGACCGGCCACAUUGGGACUGAGACACGGCCCAA
RNAcentral lists this ribosomal RNA (324 nucleotides) under uncultured bacterium. RNAcentral describes it as "bacterial SSU rRNA". It matches the Rfam family "Bacterial small subunit ribosomal RNA", at positions 28 to 334 of the family's 1533-position model. The record is from RNAcentral.